RNAcentral lists this transfer RNA (63 nucleotides) under Diaporthe ampelina. It matches the Rfam family "tRNA", at positions 5 to 66 of the family's 71-position model. From Rfam's summary of the family: Transfer RNA (tRNA) molecules are approximately 80 nucleotides in length. Their secondary structure includes four short double-helical elements and three loops (D, anti-codon, and T loops). Lineage: Eukaryota; Fungi; Ascomycota; Sordariomycetes; Diaporthales; Diaporthaceae. The record is from Rfam by way of RNAcentral.
CUAUGGCCAAGUGGUAAGGCGUCGCACUUGUAAUGCGAAGAUCGCUCGUUCGAAUCGGGCUGG